UACGGGGGGGGUAAGCGUUGUUCGGAAUUACUGGGCGUAAAGGGCUCGUAGGCGGCCAACUAAGUCGGACGUGAAAUCCCCCAGCUUAACUGGGGAACUGCGUCCGAGUACUGGAUGGCUUGGAUUUGGGAGAGGGAUGCGGAAUUCCAGGUGUAGCGGUGAAAUGCGUAGAUAUCUGGAGGAACACCGGUGGCGAAGGCGGCGACCUGGGUCGAUACUGACGCUGAGGUGCGAAAGCGUGGGGAGCAAACAGG
This 254-nucleotide ribosomal RNA is filed under the name uncultured bacterium. Its description in RNAcentral is "partial 16S ribosomal RNA". It matches the Rfam family "Bacterial small subunit ribosomal RNA", at positions 524 to 776 of the family's 1533-position model. The record is from RNAcentral.